This 939-nucleotide long non-coding RNA is filed under the name Felis catus (domestic cat). RNAcentral describes it as "lncRNA (ENSFCAG00000046924.1)". Lineage: Eukaryota; Metazoa; Chordata; Mammalia; Carnivora; Felidae. The record is from RNAcentral.
ACGGAAAAGUCUGCAGGUGGUGUUGGGACUCACGUGCAGCAGUGAGCAGAGGGUCCGCUCGUGUCCGGAGCAGACAGAAGCCUCCAAUGGCAUAUCAUGGUGGCCGGUCCUCUCCCAGCCAGAAUCUCCUGCUAGCUCUGUAAAAUCCUCAUUUUUGCGACCCUUUCCAAGUCCUCUCUUUGGAGAUUCCUGUUAAGUCAUGGGAGCCUCUGCGAAUUUUCUGACUCAUGCCCCUCAAAGAUGAGACAGCCAGAGUCCUUACCUAGUGCAGGUUGUAUCCAGUAGCUGUGAGGACGCCCCGCUCCCCACGGCCUCCAGCGUUUUGCGUUUUGUUCCGAUUUAGGAGAGAACGGAGAUGAGAGUGUUUGGCUUGCCCUGGAGGGCUCGGGGUUGUCAAUAAACAGAUAAUGCGCGAGAUGGUCUUUGAGGAGGUGAUAUUGGUGUGACUGUAGGGGUAUAAAGAGAGGUGCAUUAGGUAGAAAAGAAUGAGAAGGGCAGCUGGGAAAAUUUGUGAAAGAAUCUUUUUAUAUACUUUUCUCAAUCACAUCAGAAGCAUCUUGAGGACCGAUGACAUAGCUAAUGUAAAUUUCUCUGUCUCCUACAGACAGUACUAAGCGUAGAGGUAUUUUCUCCCAGGAAAAUGAAGAACCAGGAUGCUUAACCCAAAUGAAAGCUGGUAUUAUAGUGCGCCCGCACGUGGAAAGGCUGUUCGUCCUCACCACCUCCUUGGGACGGAGGCCGACCCACCAUGAUGAGCAGAGGUCACUAAAUUGCCUUGUCCAUGCUGCUUGGUACGACAGUGAGGAUUAGAACCCAAUCUACCCACUGCCAGAGGCAUAGAGGAAAUGAGAUUCGGAAACUGAGUCUGCACUCUGGGAGAGGCGCUACCCUCGGAUGGAGGAUAUGAAAAUUCAAUUUGGAGCAUGAAAUUCAGAAAAU